GUAUUAUAUGAAAGGAGAGAAGGUUAGCACUCCCCUUGACAAGGAUGGAAGAAGUCCUUGGGCCUAACAACAUGCACAUGGUUAAGGCAUUGCCACCUACUUCAUGGCAUCUAACCAAGU
Molecule: non-coding RNA, 120 nt
Filed under: Neotoma lepida (desert woodrat)
Lineage: Eukaryota; Metazoa; Chordata; Mammalia; Rodentia; Cricetidae
Source: RNAcentral